This is a small nuclear RNA of Erigeron canadensis, 192 nucleotides long. RefSeq annotates it as U2 spliceosomal RNA. The transcript has a single exon. Lineage: Eukaryota; Viridiplantae; Streptophyta; Magnoliopsida; Asterales; Asteraceae. The record is from RefSeq and is a predicted model, not a curated record.
AUACCUUUCUCGGCCUUUUGGCUAAGAUCAAGUGUAGUAUCUUCUUAUCAGUUUAAUAUCUGAUGUAUGAGUCAUCUGCUCACUCGAUAUUAAUCUUAAUUUUCAUGGGUAAAGACCCAUCACAAUAGCUUGCUAUUGGGGUCUGUGAGAGUCCUUGGUGUUGCACUAUUGCCUUGGCCUGGCUCACCCCUU